UAAUACGAGUUGUGCAAACGUUAUUCGGAAUCACUGGGCUUAAAGGGUGCGUAGGCGGCUAUGAAAGUCAGAUGUGAAAUCCCUCGGCUCAACCGAGGAACUGCAUUUGAAACUGUAUAGCUUGAGGGAGACAGAGGUGAGCGGAACUGAUGGUGGAGCGGUGAAAUGCGUUGAUAUCAUCAGGAACACCGGUGGCGAAAGCGGCUCACUGGGUCUUAUCUGACGCUGAGGCACGAAAGCCAGGGGAGCAAACGGGAUUAGAUACCCCGGUAGUCCUGGCCGUAAACGAUGAGUACUAGUCUGUAGGGACCCCCACAUCCCUUCGGACGUAGCGAAAGUGUUAAGUACUCCGCCUGGGGAGUAUGGUCGCAAGGCUG
This 377-nucleotide ribosomal RNA is filed under the name uncultured bacterium. Its description in RNAcentral is "bacterial SSU rRNA". It matches the Rfam family "Bacterial small subunit ribosomal RNA", at positions 521 to 896 of the family's 1533-position model. The record is from RNAcentral.